This 488-nucleotide ribosomal RNA is filed under the name Trichoderma asperellum. Its description in RNAcentral is "eukaryotic LSU rRNA". The stretch from base 100 to 253 matches the Rfam family "5.8S ribosomal RNA". The record is from RNAcentral. Lineage: Eukaryota; Fungi; Ascomycota; Sordariomycetes; Hypocreales; Hypocreaceae.
GGAACCAGGCGCCCGCCGGAGGAACCAACCAAACUCUUUCUGUAGUCCCCUCGCGGACGUAUUUCUUACAGCUCUGAGCAAAAAUUCAAAAUGAAUCAAAACUUUCAACAACGGAUCUCUUGGUUCUGGCAUCGAUGAAGAACGCAGCGAAAUGCGAUAAGUAAUGUGAAUUGCAGAAUUCAGUGAAUCAUCGAAUCUUUGAACGCACAUUGCGCCCGCCAGUAUUCUGGCGGGCAUGCCUGUCCGAGCGUCAUUUCAACCCUCGAACCCCUCCGGGGGAUCGGCGUUGGGGAUCGGGACCCCUCACACGGGUGCCGGCCCCGAAAUACAGUGGCGGUCUCGCCGCAGCUCUCCUGCGCAGUAGUUUGCACAACUCGCACCGGGAGCGCGGCGCGUCCACGUCCGUAAAACACCCAACUUUCUGAAAUGUUGACCUCGGAUCAGGUAGGAAUACCCGCUGAACUUAAGCAUAUCAAUAAGGCGGAGGA